This 1792-nucleotide long non-coding RNA is filed under the name Lactuca sativa (garden lettuce). RNAcentral describes it as "long non-coding RNA (LSAT_LNC006651)". The record is from RNAcentral. Lineage: Eukaryota; Viridiplantae; Streptophyta; Magnoliopsida; Asterales; Asteraceae.
UGCACUAAUCAGAUUGUUGUAACAUAAAAGUAACAUGAAAGCUUACAUAUUUAACAAAGCAAAUGCCUAAACAAUUGUAUACCCACUAAUAAACUCAUAUAAUCUCUAAGAUGAAAAAACAGUAAGAAAUAAACAUAUUAAAUGUUUAAAAAAACAGUUAAAGCGUUUACACACGUACCCAAAUAUGUGAAGAAGAAGGUGUUUAACAGAACUGUCAAGAUUGAAGUAAAGUUACAACGUACAAACAUCCCUAUUCAAUCCAAAAUCACCAGCAAAUGGAAAGAGAACAUGUACUAAUAUGAACUAUUAGCAGUGGAAAAAGAUAAAAAUUAGGUUCUUCUCUUAGGCAUUUACACGAACACCUUGUAAGCAUUACCUGUAACUAAAAGUAACACUUGUCGAGCCUCUAUUUUUGUCUUCCCCAUCACGUUUGCCUUUAGAGACAAAUCAAACGUUUUUAUUGAAAUCUUGAAAAGCAUUCUUGGACAUCGAGAUCAAGUGAUUUUCUAUUGUUUGGUGAACGCAAAUCAUAUGCAAAAGAUGGCCCUUUGGAUUAUCACACAGUCUCCACUUCCAUAAAAAAUCUCUGUAAUAAAGACACGAGUAAAAAGAAAUUAGAGAGAGUAAUGUAUCUCCUUGAUUUCAAGAUGAUUAGCCUAAUAGAAAUUCAUAUAGACUACAAUAUUACAAGUUUGAGCAAUUAGAUAAUGAGAAAAGCAGAGAAUAAAAAAUUGAGAUAUGAGUGAAAGCAAAGCACAUAAAUGCUAUCAUUGAACCCAUUUGUGAUCUGCUUAAUCCCCAUCCAGGUGAGUUGUCCAGACCACUUUCUAACAGAAAACAAUAAACUUCACUUUUUAAAUCAGAAUAAACAUCACCAAGAGACCUGAAAGUGAAAACCAUAAAUAAUGUAGUGCUACUUAUCAUAACCCAGAUCAUAAAUGACGGAGAGAAUAUACGAACUAACCGUGACAAUAUCAGAUUAAAAAAAAACUUUCAAUAGAUAAAGAGUUCAUAAUAAGAAGAAAAAAAAAUUAGGGUUCAAGACUUAGACCUAUCCAUGGAUGGAUUCCAGAUUAGCAUUCAGACAAACAAAAAAUAAUAGAGUUGUAAUUUGGCGUUCAAAUUUACCUUUUUAGCAACCUACGAGGCAGUAUCUCCCCUUUUGCUUUCACCCCAUGAAGAACGAAUAUAAUCUUGAGGAGUAAAGAAAAGAUUAAAUUGAAUCCAAUAUGACAUAACGCAAAACUAAUUAAAAUUAAUGAAAAUGAUGAAGACGAUGGACAGGGCGGGGAAAGGAAGUAUCAACAAUCAGAUCGUGACCGGACGCAUACUAAGAAUAGAAGAUUAGAGACACAUGAGUGAAUCUUAACUGAAAUAAGAGAGACGAACGUGAAGGAGAUGCUUAGCUUUGUUGGAGAUGAACGUGCGUUCGAGUUAUAUACGAAGUUGGCAAAAGGCCAAUUCAAAUUUGGAGAUUGAAUCCUGAUUUCUUGCUAUUAGUGUGCUGAUUUAUCGAUGAUCGUUGAUUUCUUGCUAUCAGCAUUUGAAAUUUCAAUUUCAGGAAAUUAGGAACAAAAUCAAAGAUAAGAAUUUUGAAAAUUUUGAUUUCAUCUUAGCAGCCGGAUUAUAAAACGUAUCUAACGAAAUGGGCAAUUUCAUCUUAGCAGCCGGAUUAUAAAACGUAUCUAAUGAAAUGGGCGAAUUUCAGUUAGAAACUUUGAGCGGGAAAAAAAGCUUGAGAUGGGCUGAACAAUUGCCACGUGGCAUUUUGGUACUGUUUUAUUAUAAUAGG